RNAcentral lists this ribosomal RNA (402 nucleotides) under bacterium. RNAcentral's name for it is "partial 16S ribosomal RNA". It matches the Rfam family "Bacterial small subunit ribosomal RNA", at positions 355 to 776 of the family's 1533-position model. The record is from RNAcentral.
UGGGGAAUUUUGCACAAUGGUGGAAACCCUGAUGCAGCGACGCCGCGUGAUUUAGAAGGCCUUCGGGUUGUAAAAAUCUUUUCUAUGGGAAGAAAAUGACAGUACCAUAGGAAUAAGGACCGGCUAAUUACGUGCCAGCAGCCGCGGUAAUACGUAAGGUCCGAGCGUUGUCCGGAAUCAUUGGGCGUAAAGGGUACGUAGGCGGGUAAGCAAGUUAGAAGUGAAAUCCUAUAGCUCAACUAUAGUAAGCUUUUAAAACUGCUCAUCUUGAGGUAUGGAAGGGAAAGUGGAAUUCCUAGUGUAGCGGUGAAAUGCGCAGAUAUUAGGAGGAAUACCGGUGGCGAAGGCGACUUUCUGGCCAUAACCUGACGCUGAGGUACGAAAGCGUGGGUAGCAAACAGG